This 646-nucleotide long non-coding RNA is filed under the name Nicotiana benthamiana. RNAcentral's name for it is "long non-coding RNA (NBEN_LNC042399)". Lineage: Eukaryota; Viridiplantae; Streptophyta; Magnoliopsida; Solanales; Solanaceae. The record is from RNAcentral.
AAUAGCCCUUUCAUGACUAAAGGAAAGGGUAAUGGUUAUACACCUCUUACCACAUUCACUACUUCCAAAGAAAGAACUCAAGGACUGGACUACGGAGGGACUUAGAAAAACCUACUAGCAACCUCUCCGCUUCCUAUACUUAGAAAAUGAUCCCAAUGAAGCCAAUGGUGAGACAAAAGGAACCCCAGGAUUGAUUAUUCCCUUAGGCCUAUUCUCACUCCUUCAACUAAGAAAUUCAAAUCAGCACUUGAAGCAGGAGUCUAGCUAAGGCUAGUGCGCGUAUGUUAAAACGCCUCAGUUCCCUAUAAUAAUGUGAAUUCUCAAAAUAAUACCUCACAAACAAGGUAGAUGAAUUGCCAAGACUAUCUCGACCUUACCCUUACACUCAGCUUAGAGCAUUCAAUCUCGCUUUCACCCCUCAGAAGGACAGAAAGCACUAGGGGAAUGAAAUCCUGCGCCUAGAAAGAAAGGUAGGGGAAAUAGCCCUUUCAUGACUAAAGGAAAGGGUAAUGGUUAUACACCUCUUACCACAUUCACUACUUCCAAAGAAAGAACUCAAGGACUGGACUACGGAGGGACUUAGAAAAACCUACUAGCAACCUCUCCGCUUCCUAUACUUAGAAAAUGAUCCCAAUGAAGCCAAUGG